Transfer RNA from Cupriavidus sp., 73 nucleotides. It matches the Rfam family "tRNA". Rfam says of the family: Transfer RNA (tRNA) molecules are approximately 80 nucleotides in length. Their secondary structure includes four short double-helical elements and three loops (D, anti-codon, and T loops). Further hydrogen bonds mediate the characteristic L-shaped molecular structure. tRNAs have two regions of fundamental functional importance: the anti-codon, which is responsible for specific mRNA codon recognition, and the 3' end, to which the tRNAs corresponding amino acid is attached (by aminoacyl-tRNA synthetases). tRNAs cope with the degeneracy of the genetic code in two manners: having more than one tRNA (with a specific anti-codon) for a particular amino acid; and 'wobble' base-pairing, i.e. permitting non-standard base-pairing at the 3rd anti-codon position. NCBI's taxonomy places the organism in Bacteria, Pseudomonadati, Pseudomonadota, Betaproteobacteria, Burkholderiales, Burkholderiaceae. The record is from Rfam.
GGGUGCUUAGCUCAGCUGGUAGAGCGGCGCCCUUACAAGGCGUAGGUCGGGGGUUCGAGCCCCUCAGCACCCA